CGGGACUGACGGGGCU
This 16-nucleotide transfer RNA is filed under the name Citrus halimii. Its description in RNAcentral is "partial tRNA-Asp". Lineage: Eukaryota; Viridiplantae; Streptophyta; Magnoliopsida; Sapindales; Rutaceae. The record is from RNAcentral.